CUUUCUAUAUCACUGUUACUGCUCCCACUGGAAGGCUAUUCCAGGUAUCUACUACCCUUUCUAUAUCACUGUUACUGCUCCCACUGGAAGGCUAUUCCAGGUAUCUACUACCCUUUCUGCAUCACUGUUACUGCUCCCACUGGAAGGCUAUUCCAGGUAUCUACUACCCUUUCUGCAUCACUGUUACUGCUCCCACUGGAGGGCUAUUCCAGGUAUCUACUACCCUUUCUGCAUCACUGUUACUGCUCCCACUGGAAGGCUAUUCCAGGUAUCUACUACCCUUUCUAUAUCACUGUUACUGCUCCCACUGGAAGGCUAUUCCAGGUAUCUACUACCCUUUCUAUAUCACUGUUACUGCUCCCACUGGAAGGCUAUUCCGGGUAUCUACUACCCUUUCUAUAUCACUGUUACUGCUCCCACUGGAAGGCUAUUCCAGG
This is a non-coding RNA of Pelobates cultripes (western spadefoot toad), 437 nucleotides long. Lineage: Eukaryota; Metazoa; Chordata; Amphibia; Anura; Pelobatidae. The record is from the annotation of a GenBank genome assembly.